RNAcentral lists this small RNA (1426 nucleotides) under Fusarium salinense. RNAcentral describes it as "eukaryotic LSU rRNA". The stretch from base 519 to 1426 matches the Rfam family "Eukaryotic large subunit ribosomal RNA", at positions 1 to 940 of the family's 3401-position model. The record is from RNAcentral. Lineage: Eukaryota; Fungi; Ascomycota; Sordariomycetes; Hypocreales; Nectriaceae.
CGUAACAAGGUCUCCGUUGGUGAACCAGCGGAGGGAUCAUUACCGAGUUUACAACUCCCAAACCCCUGUGAACAUACCUUUAAUGUUGCCUCGGCGGAUCAGCCCGCGCCCCGUAAAACGGGACGGCCCGCCAGAGGACCCAAACUCUAAUGUUUCUUAUUGUAACUUCUGAGUAAAACAAACAAAUAAAUCAAAACUUUCAACAACGGAUCUCUUGGUUCUGGCAUCGAUGAAGAACGCAGCAAAAUGCGAUAAGUAAUGUGAAUUGCAGAAUUCAGUGAAUCAUCGAAUCUUUGAACGCACAUUGCGCCCGCUGGUAUUCCGGCGGGCAUGCCUGUUCGAGCGUCAUUUCAACCCUCAAGCCCCCGGGUUUGGUGUUGGGGAUCGGCUCUGCCUCACGGCGGUGCCGCCCCCGAAAUACAUUGGCGGUCUCGCUGCAGCCUCCAUUGCGUAGUAGCUAACACCUCGCAACUGGAACGCGGCGCGGCCAUGCCGUAAAACCCCAAACUUCUGAAUGUUGACCUCGGAUCAGGUAGGAAUACCCGCUGAACUUAAGCAUAUCAAUAAGCGGAGGAAAAGAAACCAACAGGGAUUGCCCUAGUAACGGCGAGUGAAGCGGCAACAGCUCAAAUUUGAAAUCUGGCUUUCGGGCCCGAGUUGUAAUUUGUAGAGGAUACUUUUGAUGCGGUGCCUUCCGAGUUCCCUGGAACGGGACGCCAUAGAGGGUGAGAGCCCCGUCUGGUUGGAUGCCAAAUCUCUGUAAAGUUCCUUCGACGAGUCGAGUAGUUUGGGAAUGCUGCUCUAAAUGGGAGGUAUAUGUCUUCUAAAGCUAAAUAUUGGCCAGAGACCGAUAGCGCACAAGUAGAGUGAUCGAAAGAUGAAAAGCACUUUGAAAAGAGAGUUAAAAAGUACGUGAAAUUGUUGAAAGGGAAGCGUUUAUGACCAGACUUGGACUUGGUUAAUCAUCUGGGGUUCUCCCCAGUGCACUUUUCCAGUUCAGGCCAGCAUCAGUUUUCGCCGGGGGAUAAAGGCAGCGGGAAUGUGGCUCUCUUCGGAGAGUGUUAUAGCCCGUUGUGUAAUACCCUGGUGGGGACUGAGGUUCGCGCUUCUGCAAGGAUGCUGGCGUAAUGGUCAUCAACGACCCGUCUUGAAACACGGACCAAGGAGUCGUCUUCGUAUGCGAGUGUUCGGGUGUCAAACCCCUACGCGUAAUGAAAGUGAACGCAGGUGAGAGCUUCGGCGCAUCAUCGACCGAUCCUGAUGUUCUCGGAUGGAUUUGAGUAAGAGCAUACGGGGCCGGACCCGAAAGAAGGUGAACUAUGCCUGUAUAGGGUGAAGCCAGAGGAAACUCUGGUGGAGGCUCGCAGCGGUUCUGACGUGCAAAUCGAUCGUCAAAUAUGGGCAUGGGGGCGAAAGACUAAUCGAC